UACGUAGGGUGCAAGCGUUGUCCGGAUUUAUUGGGCGUAAAGCGCUCGCAGGUGGUCCGUCGCGUCGUGCGUGAAAGGCCCCGGCUCAACUGGGGAGGGUCGUGCGAUACGGGCGGACUGGAGGCCAGUAGGGGGAUGCGGAAUUCCGGGUGUAGUGGUGGAAUGCGUAGAGAUCCGGAGGAACACCGGCGGCGAAGGCGGCAUCCUGGACUGGUCCUGACACUCAGGAGCGAAAGCGUGGGGAGCGAUCCGGAUUAGAAACCCCCGUAGUC
RNAcentral lists this ribosomal RNA (272 nucleotides) under uncultured bacterium. RNAcentral's name for it is "partial 16S ribosomal RNA". It matches the Rfam family "Bacterial small subunit ribosomal RNA", at positions 524 to 795 of the family's 1533-position model. The record is from RNAcentral.